GUGGUUAUAGCUUAAUUGGUAGAGCGCUAAACUGUGACUUUAGAGGUUAUAGGUUCAAUUCCUAUUAAUCACC
Molecule: transfer RNA, 73 nt
Filed under: Cryptocaryon irritans
Lineage: Eukaryota; Ciliophora
Description: tRNA-His
Rfam family: tRNA
About the family: Transfer RNA (tRNA) molecules are approximately 80 nucleotides in length. Their secondary structure includes four short double-helical elements and three loops (D, anti-codon, and T loops). Further hydrogen bonds mediate the characteristic L-shaped molecular structure. tRNAs have two regions of fundamental functional importance: the anti-codon, which is responsible for specific mRNA codon recognition, and the 3' end, to which the tRNAs corresponding amino acid is attached (by aminoacyl-tRNA synthetases). tRNAs cope with the degeneracy of the genetic code in two manners: having more than one tRNA (with a specific anti-codon) for a particular amino acid; and 'wobble' base-pairing, i.e. permitting non-standard base-pairing at the 3rd anti-codon position.
Source: RNAcentral